Molecule: ribosomal RNA, 420 nt
Filed under: uncultured soil bacterium
Lineage: Bacteria
Description: bacterial SSU rRNA
Rfam family: Bacterial small subunit ribosomal RNA
Source: RNAcentral
AGGAUGAACGCUGGCGGCGUGCUUAACACAUGCAAGUCGAACGAUGAAGGCUGGAGCUUGCUCUGGCUGGAUUAGUGGCGAACGGGUGAGUAACACGUGAGUAACCUGCCCCAGACUCUGGGAUAAGCGCUGGAAACGGCGUCUAAUACCGGAUACGAGCUUCCACCGCAUGGUGAGGAGCUGGAAAGAAUUUCGGUCUGGGAUGGACUCGCGGCCUAUCAGCUUGUUGGUGAGGUAAUGGCUCACCAAGGCGACGACGGGUAGCCGGCCUGAGAGGGUGACCGGCCACACUGGGACUGAGACACGGCCCAGACUCCUACGGGAGGCAGCAGUGGGGAAUAUUGGACAAGUGGGCGAAAGCCUGAUCCAGCCAUGCCGCGUGUGUGAAGAAGGUCUUCGGAUUGUAAAGCACUUUAAGUU